Molecule: unclassified non-coding RNA, 248 nt
Filed under: Trichocladium griseum
Lineage: Eukaryota; Fungi; Ascomycota; Sordariomycetes; Sordariales; Chaetomiaceae
Description: sequence contains 5.8S rRNA gene
Rfam family: 5.8S ribosomal RNA (bases 1-53)
Source: RNAcentral
GAACGCACAUUGCGCCCGCCAGUAUUCUGGCGGGCAUGCCUGUUCGAGCGUCAUUUCAACCAUCAAGCCCCCGGCUUGUGUUGGGGACCUGCGGCUGCCGCAGGCCCUGAAAACCAGUGGCGGGCUCGCUAGUCACUCCGAGCGUAGUAAUACAUCUCGCUCAGGGCGUGCUGCGGGUUCCGGCCGUUAAAAGCCUUAUUUACCCAAGGUUGACCUCGGAUCAGGUAGGAAGACCCGCUGAACUUAAG